Molecule: unclassified non-coding RNA, 337 nt
Filed under: soil metagenome
Description: partial contains 5.8S ribosomal RNA, internal transcribed spacer 2, and large subunit ribosomal RNA
Rfam family: 5.8S ribosomal RNA (bases 1-120)
Source: RNAcentral
GAUGAAGAACGUAGCGAAAUGCGAUAAGUAGUGUGAAUUCCAGAAUUCAGUGAAUCAUCGAAUCUUUGAACGCACAUUGCGCCCCAUGGUAUUCCGUGGGGCAUGCCUGUUCGAGCGUCAUUUACCCCCUCAAGCUCCGCUUGGUGUUGGGCGUCUGUCCCGCUUCGCGCGCGGACUCGCCCCAAAGGUAUUGGCAGCGGUCGUGCCAGCUUCUCGCGCAGCACAUUGCGCUUCUCGAGGCACCGGUGGGCCCGCGUCCAUCAAGCUCACCCCCCCAGUUUGACCUCGGAUCAGGUAGGGAUACCCGCUGAACUUAAGCAUAUCAAUAAGCGGAGGA